GACCGGUCCAAAGAUCGUCCUCCACGCUUCAGUGAUGAACCUGGACCCUCAGACACAAAAGUUCAGUCCAACAGACAGAGAGCAGAGUCUCCAGGAUCCAGCUGUCUGUCUAUGAAGAGUGACUGGUCCAAAUUUGAACCUCCAUGCUUCAGUGAUGAACCUGGACCCUCAGACACAAAAUCCAGAACCAGACGUGGACUGCGGAGCCACCAGCCAGUCAG
This is an RNA transcript of Larimichthys crocea (large yellow croaker), 221 nucleotides long. RefSeq lists it as uncharacterized. NCBI's taxonomy places the organism in Eukaryota, Metazoa, Chordata, Actinopteri, Sciaenidae. The transcript has 3 exons. The record is from RefSeq and is a predicted model, not a curated record.